CCAGAACAUAAUUUGUUAUUUGUGCUUAUAUAUAUAGCAGAUGAGAGAGACUGAGGGAAUGGUGCAAAGUAUAUGGGCCUGAGCCUAAGUAUGGGCCUGAGGCUGUCUAGGAGCGCAUUUACCGGUAUAUCCCUCAGAGCAACUCCAAUGAAGGGUAAAAAAAUAAUACCUGGCUUUUGAAACUAGAGCCCUGUGGCCGCAAAACUAAUACAGUUCUCACUUUGGAUGUGUAUAGUACUGCAGUCAUCAGUAAAAGAGGAUCUGAGAUGGAAACAUGUUUUUUCUUUUCUUUUAAUGGAUAGUGACCUGUAGAGUGAUGCAAAGGUGAAAAAAGGAUUCUGUAUAAAAUUUGAUCAGGGACAACUUGUUAUACAGGUUCAAUCUUCACAGCACUUUGAGGUACAGGAAGCCUCUUCUACUAACUUUACUUAUGAUUAACUGGUAUGAGACAACCUGCUGUAUCUUGCGUUCUCCUUUUAAGUGUGGUGGUGUUUUGAGCACCAGAACACGGUGGUUCCAAAGUUAUUACAAAGCCAUUAUCAAUAAAUUCCUUGAAUGGUGUGCCAGUUCCUGGAAUAACAUGUCAAUAGAACAGUAUCCUUUUGCAAUAUUGUCCUAAACUAUGUGUUGCUCCAGUCCUAGCAGAAUCAGGUUCCUACUGGCAGAUGCUCUCUCUCCAAAAUGUAUUCUUAUGGGCCACAAUAUCCUGUUAUUCAAAGCUUUCCUGGAGAUCUGUCCACCUACAAUAAAUGUCAGUUCAUUAACCACUUUGAGAAGCUUUAGUUUAAAAUGACAGGUCAUUUUAAAAUAACUGAAAAAACUGGUUAAAAAAAGAGAAAGAUUGUCCUAGCCCAGGGGUCAGCAAACUUACCGCGCCUUGGGCCAGUGUCUCCAGCGCCGAUCGCGCGGCGGGCCGGAGGGCAGGGGAGCACAUGCCCAUACACAUGCGCACAUGCUAUUUCCGGUGCACUUCUGGGUCGGAGGAGCACCAGAAAUAGCUUGUGCGCAUAUGCACGGGCCUCCUCCGACCCAUAUAUGCACCGGAAAUAAUGCUUGUUCAUGUGCAAAUAACGCUUGCGCAUGUGCUCAAGCUAUUUCCGGUGCUCCUCCAACCCGAAAGAGGGCAGCAGCGCAGCGUCGGUAAGAGCGGGCGGUGGCAGCAGCAGGUGGCGGGGGUCUCCGCGAGUCAGAUAAACGAGUCCCUUGGGCCUUAUCCAGCCCGCGGGCCUUAGUUUGGGGACCCCUGUCUUAGCCAUAUGAAGGUCGGAUAGAGACUGGGAAUCAGGAGUGCUGUGACUGUGUGGGAGCUGUGGGCAAAGAGGUAGUAGACAUGUUCAGACAUUCAGAGAAGAGACUAUGGGGCUUGAGUAUCUGAAAUGUUGCUGUCUGAGUGCCCUGCCUGAGCACAUUCAGGCACAUAGCCAAGUUGCUGUUGAUUCAUUAAAUUUCUUACCCACCCUUCACCAUGGGUAGGUUACAAUGAUUUUAAAAUAUUGAAAAAAGUCAAAACAACUUACAGCCAAGAGAACAGAGUGAGUCCUAAAAUAUAUAGCUCAGGUGUCUUAAGGCCAAGGUAGAAAGGUUGAUGGAUGACCCAGUACUUCCCACUGGUCACAGAGGUGAGAACCAUGAAGUUUGUUCUUAAUCACCUCUCGCAAAAACCGAGAUGCAUCUCCAUACUUACAGGAAGUGCACUGUAGACUUCAUAAUGUAUAUAAACAGCAGGAGCAACCCCCUUAGCACCGAAAUAAUUCAAUUGCUACUUAACACUUUCUGAAGAAGUAGGUUUUUAGUGCUAGCAAAAUAAAUUGCACAAACCCAAAUAAUAGACUGUUCCACAUCUUGAAUUAUUCAAGGAUUUCCUCUGCUUCAAAAUAACCAUUUUUAAAUGCUCAGCUCCUUGCUAUUUGAUUUAACCUUAACUUGGGCCCCCUGGAGCCUGGUAAACUUGGAGAGCUUUGCUCCUUUUACUGGAUUCUAAAUUAACUGUAGCCACUCAGGAAAAAGACCUGAACAUUAUCAUGUACAAUUCAAUAAAAGCGCCUAUGGUUUGAAAAUGUUGGGAUGCAUGUGGAACAGAAUAACAAAUCACGCUGAAGAGAAAUGUAAUGCUAUUAAUAUUACUUGAAUCAAUAAUAAGCUUCUGCCUGGAAUGCAGGGUUCAGUUUUGCUCAGCUUAUCUUAAAAGACCUAUUCCUAAAUUAUGAAAGAUACAAAGAGAGGCAAGAAGCAUAACUGGCUAAAAACAGUUUUGAGAGUUUUAUAUCGCAGGGGAAAUGAUCAAAAGGGGUUGACACAGGUGCAUGUUAUGUAAACAGAGAAAUGGUCCUUAAAAUGCUAUUUUCUAUAUUUAUAGUGAUAUUUCGCUCUUUUGCUUUAUGCUGUCAUCAAUAGUCACUAGUGUUAGGCACAAUGAAAACCAAACUAUACAGAGAGGGGUGGAUCCAAACUUGUGAUCAGCAAGUUUCUGCUUGAGGGGUCAGGGAUGUGAUUUUUGCCAAUUCCUAUCUAGAGAGCAUUGAUCCUUAGCAUGAAUCUUACUUACAUAUUCUGUUGGAAAAUAUCGGCUGAUGAAGACUAUUACGAAACAGUAGUAUCAUUCCAGAGACACUGUCCUUUUUAGGCUUUUGAGACGUCUUCUGUUGAAACUUUUGAAAGACUGUUGUGAGACUGUCCUUAGACAUCUGUUUUGAACACAUGGCUUGAUGGUCCUUGCUACCACUCUGUUAUAUUGUACAUAUGAACUUUGAUUGGCUUAUUCCUGUAAUUUGAAUGAUAUCAUUAUUCUAUUAUAUAUUCUCUACAAACUAUUAGCCUAUGUGUUGUGUUUGUAUUGUAAAAAUAUGCUCCAGCAGGUUGGCAGACCUCCAGAACAGUGUGAGGGGUGGCACUGGUAUAUGUGUGCAAAAAUAGCUUCCCCACCUUCAGCAGGUAGUCUCUACUGGAUCCUGGUUCCUUCCACAAAUGGAAAGAGGGCUUCCACUUACAAGGGCAACCAUGUAUCCAACCAAAUUUCCUCCCUUUGCUUAUUAAUCUAAGGUUACAUAUACUUUCACCUCUCUGUCCUUCAUAAAGUAAAACCAACCACUUUCCCUACAUUUAUGGGAUUCCAUCCAACACUCUACCUCCCGUAUCUUCAAAUGCCAUUGAUAAUAUCUGGCAGGAAAACAAAGUGCUUUUACAGCAAGCUCUUUUUGCUUAGAAAGCCAUAUGUUAUAAAAUAUGAAGGCAUUAUUACCAGCAAUAUGUUGGUAGUCAUUUAUAACUGUUAUUAGUAUCUGUCUUUUAAAACAGAUGUGGCUAGAUUUGAAUGUAAAUAAAAAGUGAGCCAGUUCACAUAUGUAAAGUGACUGCUUCACCCACACUUUGUGUUUUUUGUUUUGUUUUUUCAUUCUGUGCAUCUUUCAUCCAUUUCAGUGAGAUCUGGAUGCUGCAUGGAGAUAACAUGCAACUAUUCCUUUUAUUUCUGUGAUCACAAAAGGUACUGAUAUCAUCCCAGCAAUGGCUUUGGUUUUUCCGUGUGCAGAUGAUUUUACAUUGGCAUUUCUUCAUGUGACUUCCCCCUCCCCCAUGCAAAAUAUGUGAACUGCCCCAUAAAAUGAAUUAGCGAUAUAGCUCGUCUCUACCAGUAUGUAUAUUAAACAGCUACAGUAGCAGCAAGUACAUUACAAAAUGAGCAAAUUUCCAUGCUUUACACUAAUGAAGCCUCAAAAAAAGGUUUUUGUGUAGAAAUGUACUUUGUUGUCCUUGGUUUUGUUCUCUGCUCCCCCCCUCCACUGGCAGAGAAAGGGGGGUGCGGUGGGUGCUGUCCGCCCCAGGUGUCAUCCCUGAGGGGGGUGACAUUGCUGCGCCACUCCACUGGGACACCCGCUGCAGGUGGUAUCUCCCUGGGAUGCCCGCCCUGCCCUUGGGUGCACAAGGUGCCAGAGCAGCUAGUUCCGCCUCUGCUCCUCCCCCCCAUUUCCUCUAUCUGUGCCAUGUUUUCCUGCGUAAUUUAGUAUGAUAGAUGCUAACUUCAAUCUCACAAUAUCUAUAAGACUCCCUUUCUCCUUGCCUUCAUUUGUGCUGCUGCAUUUCACUCCAUUGGCAGUAUCUGAGAAAAUGUUCUCAGGCUCCUACUUACCUGUUCUAAGCUACCCUGCGAUAAGAGAUAUUUUCCAAAUAUGUAAAGGAAGCCAACUGACUGUACUUGUCAAAGAGAGGCUGAAAUGACAGGCAUAUGUUUAGGUAACACGCCAGCCUUCCUUUGCAUGCUGCUGUCACCUAUUCUGAAGUUACUCAAGAUUAGAUUUGAAGCGGUACAAAAAGGCACUGGGCAGGCAGAUUGCUGCUGCUUUGAACUCUAUGUAUCAGAUUGACUUCUCUGUCAGAUAUUAUUAAACUAGAGAAUAGCUGGUGGAUGUUAGUGGUUCAGGCUAGGAUUUCUUUCUCCUUUUAAAUCAUUCAUCAGCUUUGGGAGAGUUUGCAUUGGGCUAGAUAACAUAUAACCCAACUUCACUAUUGUCUGCUUUUUGUAACUGUUCACAUCAUUGUGGAUAACUUGGUUCUGACUUGUUGCAAAUCUGUGGUAUUUUAUUUCUUUUGUGGACUGUUAUCUUGUUACCCAACAGGAGCUCAUAAUUUGAUUUUUUUACAUGAAGGCUAGACAUCUUACAAAUCAGCUCACCAAUGUAGUUUUGCCCUGUUGCAGCCCUUUAAUAGCAUAGGCUGGCAUAUUUUCUAUAUUUUGCUUAUGCUGGAUAUCACAUCUUUUCUAUUACUUUUAUGGGAUCUUCUAUAUUUGGGAGGAAAAAAAUCUGACCUAGGGGCUUCAUUUUUAAAUAUAUUUAUAUUUGUCCAUGUUUGAAGGGUAUCUUCUCUUGGUUCAGUUUUGCUCAUUGUGGUGGAGGAAGAAAGAUAGAAAAAAGAAUAUUUUUUAGUUUAAUUGGCCAAGUUUGUGCUAAUGAUGCUCAUGGCUUGAAGGGUUUUCUUUUAAGUUUAGCACAUUGUCAUUCUGCCAGCAAAUGCUCAAGGUGACUUAAUUGUAUUCUGGUUGAGACUCUACCCCUGCAGUUAGUUUUUUCUUGCAGUUCCUUGUGUGCUGAGGGAUUGGGUUUAGAUGCAGCUGGAGGAGCAAUAGCCUCACACAUGAAGGUGAGAGAGGAUAAGGUCCCGAAGUGGUGGACAGAAUGCAUCAAGAGAACUUAAGUUACCAUGCCUUUCGCCACUAAAACAGUCUUCCUGUUCUUUGUAGGGACCCUAAAAUAAGAACAUUAUAAGGUACUUGAGAUUUAAUAUUAUUGUGUGCAAAGCCUGGAGGAAGGCUUAAAAUUUGGGCUAGGGGGCAUAUAUAUUUAUUUUUUACUUUUUGAAUACUAGUAGAAAUUAGAAGCCUGGAGACUUUUCACAGUAUGUGAUAGUUUGCUAUUCUUCUCUUCAUGGUAGGAUUGAGGGUGACUUGGGACAGUGUUAUUGCAGGGAUACUUUGCAGUUGGCAAGUAUCUGCUUUCAGCCUCAGCUGCUGGUCAAAAGAGCUCCAUGGCUCUACUGACCAACCAAAGUGGUUCUGCUGCCUUCUUCAGUUACAUUCACUAAUCCUCACUAUAAAGCUUAUCUUAUUUGGUUGAAUCAGCAGCUGGCAGUGGCUUGUCCAUGGGGCCCAGGGGAGGCUGCAUGCAGAUCUUUAUUGAGAGUGAAGCAGCUGAUUGAACAGCAGCUGAAAUAACAGGACUGGUAUGAAUGCUGAUAGAGAAUAUGAAAGCUUCAGGUAUUUGCAGAAGUCACCUGAGGACAAGCAUAUUAGCCUACCCCUGGGAAUAGACUUGAAAUACUGAAGAUAUAUUCUAACCAGCUUUUCACACAGAACCUCAAAACCAUGUAGUUAUUAACGGCUUCAAAGCCUGCCCUAGACACAAUCUAGUUCCAGAUGCCGUUCGAGAUGUAUUAUCUGAAUAAAUACAAUUAGCCACAGUGCUGAUUGCUGUUGGGAUGUGGGUUACUAAGAGGUCAGGGGCCAUGGAGAAAGUUCUCUCCUACCAUUUUUUUUAGUCUCCGUUUCUUAAAAGAAAAUUAUUUAAUUAAAGGAUACUUUGAGCAUUGAUGCUGGACUAAUCCCUACUCAUCCGUCACACACCAGGAAACCCUAGGGUUUAGGAAGGGCAAGCUAAUUAAUUUCUUUUUCUGUGUGUUGCCCUUUUAAGUGGAAUGCACCUCCAAGUCAGCUGCACAAAAAUGUAGUAUGUGAAGGUAUAGAUAUGAGGAAGGAAGGAAGGAAAGUAUCUUGUGAGGAUGGCCAGAUGCAGAAGAGGCCUGCGCUCUCUUGCAUCUUUAAACAGUUGUGUAAAAGAGGGAGUUUUGGUAGGGGGUGCAAAAAUACAUCCAGUGAAAGGAGAGUCCAGCACCACCCAAGGCAGUCUGUUCCACAGUCAAACAGCAUGCUCAGCCAAAAUCUGCUUCCUUGCAACAACAACAACAAUACCACUUUAUUAUGGUCGUAGACCAGCAUAAGGAGGGGUACAAUCUUUUAAAAUAAUCUGAAAUCUUAAAAAAAACACCCAAAAACUAAAAGAAGUUAAAACAGUGUGUGUGUGUGUGUGUGUAUGUAUGCUUCCUUGCAAUUUCCCAGCACUGGUUCUAGUCCUGCCCUCUGUUAUAACAGGGAACAGGUCUGCUUUAUCUUCCUCAUGAUAGCCCUUCAGAUAUUUGAAGACCGCCAUCAUGUCUCUCUUUAAACCUGUGUCCUGAAGGCUUUUUCAGAUGCCCCUCAUAGGGACUGGUUUUGAGAUCCUUUCAUAAUUCUGGUUGCCCUCUUCUUGACAUGUAAAAUUAAUUUCUCCCCAAACUAGGCAUAGGACUGGGUUCAACUAAUGAGUUCCGCUAGUGCAAUGGGACUUUCCCCAUUGCCUCCACACACCUCAGACUGGCUUGGGUGUGGUGGUUGUUAGGAGAUUCCAAAGAAUAGCAGGCGGGGGGAGAGGUGGUGGUGGUGGUGGUUUUAUUACCCACCCUUCACCCUAAGGUCCCAGGGUGGGUUAUCACAAAAAUAAGAUGUGUCCUAACAAUAUACUGCAUCAACAGAAGUAUAGUGUCCAAUCAAGGGAAGUAAUAGUACCACUUGGAAUACUGUGUCCAAUUCUGGGGACCACAAUAUUAGAAGGAUGUUGACAAGCUAGAAUGUAUGCAGAUGAGGGCAAACUAGGCCUUAUGAGGAGCGCUUGAAGGAGCUGAUUAUGUUUAGCCUGGAAAAGAGGAGACUGAGAAGGAGAUGUGAUAGCCAUCUUCAAUUAUCUUAAGGGGUGUCACAUGGAGCAGGGAGCAUGCUUGUUUUCUUCUGCUCUGGAGGGUAGGACUCAAACCAAUGGCUUCAAGUUGCAAGAAAGGAGAUUCUAUCUAAACAUUCGAAAAAAACUUUCUGACAGAGCUGUUUGGCAGUGGAACAGACUCCUACAAGAGGUGGUGGACUCUCCUUCCUUGGAGGUUUCCAAACAGAGGUUGGAUGGCCAUCUGUCAUGGAUGCUUUAGCCGAGAUUCCUGCUUUGCUGGGGGUUGGACUAGAUGACCCUUGGGUUCCUUUCAACUCUAAGAUUCUAUGACUCUGUGUUCCGCAGGUAAGCAGAAAUUCUUGUGCUGAUGGAGCAAUCUGCAUAUUAUUAUGUUGAAUUCCUCCCACCGUACUCUAGAUGCGGCAGAAUAGAACAGAGUAAUUGCUUUCCAUGAUUUCUGCAUGACUUUUUUAGCAGCAGCAUUGCCCACCUAGCUCAUGUUCAUCCUGCGAUGCCUGUAUACAAUCCCCAUGUACUGCUGCCAAGUCAGGGCUCUCCUGUCAUAUAUGUGUGUUUUUGAUUAUUUGUUUAUUAAUCUAAAUGAAGUGCUUUACAUUUAUCUUUUUUGAAUUUCAUCCUGUUGGUUUUGGUCAGGCAUCCUAGCCUGUCCAGAUAAUUUCUUUCUUUAAUGAUGGUGGCUACCUCUUCCAGUAAGUGCCAUCGGCAAAUUUGAUAAGCACCCCUUCUGCUUCCUCGUCCAAUUUACAUAAAAAUGUUGAGCAAUACAGGGCCAAGGACAGAGCCCUGGAGCAUUUUACUCCAGUUCAAUGUUCAGCAACUAAUGAGCAUUCAUCAGGUACAUGAGCCUAUAAAAUAUAUACUGUGUAGCUAAGUAGGCUCUGUUUUUACAUAGAAUUCAAUGUUAUGAAUAUUAAUGUGAUAUUCUGCAAAUAAAAUUGUUUAAUAAUGAUUAGUUAUUGUGCAAGUUCACUUAUUGUCCCAUAAUGUGCAUCUUCUUGUAAGACAAAAAAAUGAAGUAACAUUUUCACUUAG
RNAcentral lists this long non-coding RNA (8294 nucleotides) under Podarcis lilfordi (Lilford's wall lizard). The record is from RNAcentral. Lineage: Eukaryota; Metazoa; Chordata; Lepidosauria; Squamata; Lacertidae.